UGGGGAAUUUUGGACAAUGGGCGAAAGCCUGAUCCAGCCAUGCCGCGUGAGUGAAGAAGGCCUUCGGGUUGUAAAGCUCUUUUAGUCGGAAAGAAAGAGUCGCAAUGAAUAAUUGUGAUUUAUGACGGUACCGACAGAAAAAGCACCGGCUAACUACGUGCCAGCAGCCGCGGUAAUACGUAGGGUGUGAGCGUUAAUCGGAAUUACUGGGCGUAAAGGGUGCGCAGGCGGUUUUGCAAGUCAGAUGUGAAAGCCCCGGGCUUAACCUGGGAAUUGCGUUUGAAACUACAAGGCUAGAGUGCAGCAGAGGGGAGUGGAAUUCCAUGUGUAGCAGUGAAAUGCGUAGAGAUGUGGAAGAACACCGAUGGCGAAGGCAGCUCCCUGGGUUGACACUGACGCUCA
This 402-nucleotide ribosomal RNA is filed under the name uncultured bacterium. RNAcentral's name for it is "bacterial SSU rRNA". It matches the Rfam family "Bacterial small subunit ribosomal RNA", at positions 355 to 749 of the family's 1533-position model. The record is from RNAcentral.